GACGAACGCUGGCGGCGUGCUUAACACAUGCAAGUCGAACGGAAAGGCCCUGCUUUUGUGGGGUGCUCGAGUGGCGAACGGGUGAGUAACACGUGAGUAACCUGCCCUUAACUUUGGGAUAACUUCAGGAAACUGGGGCUAAUACCGGAUAGGAGCUCCUGCUGCAUGGUGGGGGUUGGAAAGUUUCGGCGGUUGGGGAUGGACUCGCGGCUUAUCAGCUUGUUGGUGGGGUAGUGGCUUACCAAGGCUUUGACGGGUAGCCGGCCUGAGAGGGUGAUCGGCCACAUUGGGACUGAGAUACGGCCCAGACUCCUACGGGAGGCAGCAGUGGGGAAUAUUGCACAAUGGGCGGAAGCCUGAUGCAGCAACGCCGCGUGCGGGAUGACGGCCUUCGGGUUGUAAACCGCUUUCGCCUGUGACGAAGCGUGAGUGACGGUAAUGGGUAAAGAAGCACCGGCUAACUACGUG
This 468-nucleotide ribosomal RNA is filed under the name uncultured bacterium. RNAcentral's name for it is "partial 16S ribosomal RNA". It matches the Rfam family "Bacterial small subunit ribosomal RNA", at positions 28 to 507 of the family's 1533-position model. The record is from RNAcentral.